Molecule: long non-coding RNA, 938 nt
Filed under: Ictidomys tridecemlineatus (thirteen-lined ground squirrel)
Lineage: Eukaryota; Metazoa; Chordata; Mammalia; Rodentia; Sciuridae
Description: lncRNA (ENSSTOG00000029985.1)
Source: RNAcentral
AUGGGCAACUUUUCUCCAUACUGCACCCUGGUGGCUAGGUUUGUGGAGUCUGGGAAGUCCAGGGUUGAGGGUCCCACAUCUGGUGAAGGCCUCCUCAGCUGCAUGGUCCCUUGGCAGAAGGUGGACGGCAAGAGAGAUUAAGGCCGAGUGCGAGAGAGGGUUGAACACACUUCUAUGGAUUGAACCCACUCUUCUAAAAAAAUAAAUAAAUAAAUACUUGUCUACUUCAUGUACAACCAGAGAAGUGAAAAAUUCUCCAUUCGUGUAAUGAAUCGAAGAGCUUUCUACUGUCAUGUAUAACUGAUUCAAACUUAUUAAAAAAACACACAUUUGUGUAAGAUAAUGACAUUGAUACAUACAUAAGGACAGAGCCUUCAUGAUCCUUUAAGCCCCUCUUAAAGUUCCUCCUCCCAACAAUGCCCUAUAGGGCACUGUUUUCAGCAUAUGAACUUUGGGGACAUAUUCAAACUACACCAUUAAGUGAAUGUUUUCUAUGAAGUUACCUCCAUGUUUUAAUUGAUUGUACUUCAUAGAGGAAAAUAUUUACAUAACAGUUUCUUUCAGUUCAAAUGAAGAAAGAAUUAUUAUCUAAAUAGCAAAUCUAUUUUUUAAAAUAUAACAGAUUAAUAUGAUGAUAUGCCUAACAAAAACAAAAUUUGGAAGAAAAUUUUUAUGAAACAUUUUAGAAAGUUGCUCUAUAACUUAAGCAAUACACUGGAAGUUCUACUUUUUCAAAAUGGUAGUAUAGUUGCCUAGUUUACAUUGCAAUUUUAUUUGCUCUUUGUUAAUGUAAUAUUGUAUAAUCGAGAGCUUAAUUCUUAUAAACUGUUAUAAAAGUAUGUUUAAUGAGCAAAAGCUUGAAUGGCUGAAUGUCAUAUAUGUGAAAUGAAUAUAUUAUACCUAUUUUUGUCAUGAAAAUAAAUAUGUGAAGCAAGAUG